GCCUUCUUAGCUCAGCUGGCAGAGCGUAUCCCUCGUAUGCGGCCGCUUGGCUACUGCAAGGAUAAGGUCGUCGGUCCGAUUCCGGCAGAAGGCA
Non-coding RNA from Zopfochytrium polystomum, 94 nucleotides. The record is from the annotation of a GenBank genome assembly. NCBI's taxonomy places the organism in Eukaryota, Fungi, Chytridiomycota, Chytridiomycetes, Chytridiales, Chytridiaceae.